Molecule: ribosomal RNA, 396 nt
Filed under: uncultured bacterium
Lineage: Bacteria
Description: bacterial SSU rRNA
Rfam family: Bacterial small subunit ribosomal RNA
Source: RNAcentral
GUGCCAGCAGCCGCGGUAAGACGUAGGGGGCAAGCGUUGUUCGGAAUCAUUGGGCGUAAAGCGCUCGUAGGCGGUCGAUUAAGUCGGAUGUGAAAACCCAGGGCUCAACCCUGUGCCUGCAUUCGAAACUGAUCGACUUGAAUCCAGAAGAGGCAAGUGGAAUUCCCGGUGUAGCGGUGGAAUGCGCAGAUAUCGGGAAGAACACCAGUGGCGAAGGCGGCUUGCUGGGAUGUGAUUGACGCUGAGGAGCGAAAGCUAGGGGAGCAAACAGGAUUAGAUACCCUGGUAGUCCUAGCCGUAAACGAUGGACACUAGGUGUGGGGGGCCGUUGACGCCUCCCGUGCCGCAGCUAACGCAUUAAGUGUCCCGCCUGGGGAGUACGGCCGCAAGGCUAAA